GAUGAAGAACGCAGCGAAAUGCGAUAAGUAAUGUGAAUUGCAGAAUUCAGUGAAUCAUCGAAUCUUUGAACGCACAUUGCGCCCGCCAGUAUUCUGGCGGGCAUGCCUGUUCGAGCGUCAUUUCAACCCUCAGGGCCCUUUUGGACCUGGCGUUGGGGCUCGGCCGCUACCCUGCGGCCGUCCCCGAAAGAUAGUGGCGGUCUCGCUGUAGCCUCCUCUGCGUAGUAGUUACAUCUCGCACUGGAACGCGGCGCGGCCAUGCCGUUAAACACCCCACUUCUCAAGGUUGACCUCGGAUCAGGUAGGAAUACCCGCUGAACUUAAGCAUAUAAAUAAGCGGAGGA
This 344-nucleotide unclassified non-coding RNA is filed under the name soil metagenome. Its description in RNAcentral is "partial contains 5.8S ribosomal RNA, internal transcribed spacer 2, and large subunit ribosomal RNA". The stretch from base 1 to 120 matches the Rfam family "5.8S ribosomal RNA", at positions 35 to 154 of the family's 154-position model. The record is from RNAcentral.